Molecule: ribosomal RNA, 254 nt
Filed under: uncultured bacterium
Lineage: Bacteria
Description: partial 16S ribosomal RNA
Rfam family: Bacterial small subunit ribosomal RNA
Source: RNAcentral
UACGAAGGGGGCUAGCGUUGCUCGGAAUCACUGGGCGUAAAGCGCACGUAGGCGGGCUUCUUAAGUCAGGGGUGAAAUCCUGGAGCUCAACUCCAGAACUGCCUUUGAUACUGAGGAGCCUUGAGUCCGGGAGAGGUGAGUGGAACUGCGAGUGUAGAGGUGAAAUUCGUAGAUAUUCGCAAGAACACCAGUGGCGAAGGCGGCUCACUGGCCCGGUACUGACGCUGAGGUGCGAAAGCGUGGGGAGCAACAGG